RNAcentral lists this ribosomal RNA (198 nucleotides) under uncultured bacterium. RNAcentral describes it as "partial 16S ribosomal RNA". It matches the Rfam family "Bacterial small subunit ribosomal RNA", at positions 328 to 539 of the family's 1533-position model. The record is from RNAcentral.
ACGCUCGACACCUACAGGAGGCAGCAGUGGGGAAUAUUGCACAAUGGGGGAAACCCUGAUGCAGCAACGCCGCGUGAAGGAAGACGGUUUUCGGAUUGUAAACUUCUGUUCUUAGUGAAGAUAGUGACGGUAGCUAAGGAGCAAGCCACGGCUAACUACGUGCAAGCAGCCGCGGUAAUCUGAGCGGGCUGGCAAGGC